This 440-nucleotide ribosomal RNA is filed under the name uncultured bacterium. RNAcentral's name for it is "bacterial SSU rRNA". It matches the Rfam family "Bacterial small subunit ribosomal RNA", at positions 954 to 1392 of the family's 1533-position model. The record is from RNAcentral.
GCUAAACGCGAAGAACCUUACCAGCUUUUGACAUGUCCGGUAUGAUUUCCAGAGAUGGAUUUCUUCAGUUCGGCUGGCCGGAACACAGGUGCUGCAUGGCUGUCGUCAGCUCGUGUCGUGAGAUGUUGGGUUAAGUCCCGCAACGAGCGCAACCCUCGCCCUUAGUUGCCAUCAUUUAGUUGGGCACUCUAAGGGGACUGCCGGUGAUAAGCCGCGAGGAAGGUGGGGAUGACGUCAAGUCCUCAUGGCCCUUACAGGCUGGGCUACACACGUGCUACAAUGGCGGUGACAAUGGGAGGCAAAGGGCGACCCCGCGCAAAUCUCAAAAAGCCGUCUCAGUUCGGAUUGCACUCUGCAACUCGAGUGCAUGAAGUUGGAAUCGCUAGUAAUCGUGGAUCAGCAUGCCACGGUGAAUACGUUCCCGGGUCUUGUACACACCG